GCGCUUUUAGCUCAGUUGGUAGAGCAGCGGACUCUUAAUCCGCGUGUCCAGGGUUCGAGCCCCUGAAGGCGCA
RNAcentral lists this transfer RNA (73 nucleotides) under Anaerobutyricum hallii. RNAcentral's name for it is "tRNA-Lys". It matches the Rfam family "tRNA". From Rfam's summary of the family: Transfer RNA (tRNA) molecules are approximately 80 nucleotides in length. RNAcentral also lists the same sequence under 9 other names. Lineage: Bacteria; Bacillati; Bacillota; Clostridia; Lachnospirales; Lachnospiraceae. The record is from RNAcentral.